UGGGGAAUCUUGGACAAUGGGGGCAACCCUGAUCCAGCCAUGCCGCGUGAGUGAUGAAGGCCUUAGGGUCGUAAAGCUCUUUCGCCUGUGAAGAUAAUGACGGUAACCGUAGAAGAAGCCCCGGCUAACUUCGUGCCAGCAGCCGCGGUAAUACGAAGGGGGCUAGCGUUGUUCGGAAUAACUGGGCGUAAAGCGCACGUAGGCGGACCAGAAAGUUGGGGGUGAAAUCCCGGGGGCUCAACCCCGGAACUGCCUCCAAAACUAUUGGUCUAGAGUUCGAGAGAGGUGAGUGGAAUUCCAAGUGUAGAGGUGAAAUUCGUAGAUAUUUGGAGGAACACCAGUGGCGAAGGCGGCUCACUGGCUCGAUACUGACGCUGAGGUGCGAAAGUGUGGGGAGCAAACAGGAUUAGAUACCCUGGUAGUCCACACCGUAAAACGAUGAAUGCCAGUCGUCGGGUAGCAUGCUAUUCGGUGACACA
This 479-nucleotide ribosomal RNA is filed under the name uncultured bacterium. RNAcentral describes it as "bacterial SSU rRNA". It matches the Rfam family "Bacterial small subunit ribosomal RNA", at positions 355 to 850 of the family's 1533-position model. The record is from RNAcentral.